AGCUGGUCGAUGAUGACGAAAAUUAUCGCGAAAAGAGCUCUAGGGCUCACGCUUCUCCAAAAGGGUAAUCCUUCUUCUCUCGAUUCUCUGUUUGGGCUCGUCGUUUUCAGAAGCCAGUUUUGCUCUUUUGCUGUCAAUCGUUGUCAUACUGUUAGUGUUAAGGAAACCAUUGAUUUGGAGGAUUUGGUAAAAACGUGUUGUAAAUCUGGUAAUCUUGGGUUAGAUGAAGCACUGGGUCACUUCGAUUCCGUAAUUCAAAUGAAACCCAUUCCCCCGAUUUGGGCUAUUAAUCAUUUGCUUGGGGCAGUCUCCAAGAUGAAUCAGUGUUUCACUGUAGUUUCUAUGUAUAAACAGAUGCUGGCUUGUGUUGGCUUACACCCGGAAGUCGGUACACUGAGUGUUGUUAUCAAUUGCUUGUGCCGUAUGAAUCGGGUGGACUUGGGUUUCUCUGUUUUAGCAACUAUCCUUAAACAUGGUCUUCAGCCCAAUGCUUAUACUUUGAAUGCUUUGCUUCAUGGGGUUUGCGAGUACAGGUCGCUCUCUGAGGCAAUGGAUUUGUUCCAGAAAAUAGAAGAGAAAGGAUUAGCAUGCAAUGAAAUCACUUACGCUACUAUAAUUAAUGGGUUGUGCAGAGCUGGGAAAACAUGUAUGGCGCUUGAGAUACUCGAGCAAAUGUAUGAAGAUGGAAGGUUUAAGCCUGUCCCUCAAUGCUAUAAUCCAAUCAUUGACCGCUUAUGCAAAGAAAGAAGAAUAGAUGAGGCGCUGACCCUAUUUCAAGAUAUGAUCAACAAAAGUGUUGCGCCAGACAUGGGUCUUUGGACACGAGCACUUGCUCUGUUUGAAAUAAUGAAAAACAAGGCAUAAAGCCUGAUGUUUUCACUUUCAAUUCCUUAAUUGAUGCUUCAUGCAAGUCUGGUAAGUGGGAAGAAGCUGUGCUGCUAUUUAGAAACAUGAUUGAUUGUGGAGCCUUCCCUGAUAUUGUUACAUUCAGUUCUGUGUUGGAUGCUUUGUGCAAGGAAGGGAAGACAGCAGAGGCACUUAACCUUGUGGAAGAAAUGUUCCGUAGAGGUGUAAAGCCUAAUGUCGUCACCUACACCUCCUUAAUUAAUAGCCUCUGCCAUUCCGCGCAAUGGAAAGAAGCCACAAGGUUGUUUAAUAGAAUGCUGGAUGAAGGAAUUGCACCAAAUGUUGUAACCUUUAACACUGUAAUACAUGCUCUUUGCAAGGAGAGACGGGCAGAGGAAGCGCUCUCCGUGUUGGAGCUAAUGUCCCAAAGAGGUGUGAGGCCCGACAUUGUCACUUACAACAGUCUAAUUUAUGGCAUGUGCCGUGCAAAUCAAUGGGCUGAAGCCACAAGGUUGUUUGAUGAAAUGGUAGUUCAGGGAGUCUUACCUAAUAUCAUAACUUUGAGAAUACUUUUGGAUGCUCUCUUCCAAGGAGGGAUGCCAGAAGAGGCUCAUAAAGUAGUUGAGGCCAAAGUUAAAUAUGGUAUGGAGCUGAGCAAAAUAACUUGCACUAUGCUAAUUGAUGGUUAUUGUUUUCUUGGCAAAAUGGAUAAGGCAAAGAAGGUCAUUGAUUUAAUGGUGAUAAAAGAUCGUGUCCCUGAUAUUGCUUCUUGCUAUAAAGCCUUGGUCAACAGCUAUAUGCAAGCUAAAAGGAUAGGUGAAGCUUUGAGGCUCGUUGAGGAAAUGAUCGAACAAGGGGUGAUGCCUGAUUUGGAAACCCUAAAAGCUUUGAGAGGUCUGCAGAAUAGUUCCCCAUGAGACCACUAGAACUUGUAUGACCAAGCAAUAUUAGUGAAAUGAAGUGGUUUCAAACAAGUAUAGGAUCGUUGGUGCUGAAAAAUAUAUUCUAUAUUCUUAAUCUCA
This is a non-coding RNA of Prunus mume (Japanese apricot), 1868 nucleotides long. Lineage: Eukaryota; Viridiplantae; Streptophyta; Magnoliopsida; Rosales; Rosaceae. The record is from RefSeq and is a predicted model, not a curated record.